UUGAGGGGACACGUGAUGUUUGGAAAGAGUAGAGAAACACACCAAAGAACUUUUCGUGGUGUUCUGGCUGCUUCCUGCCACUUCCACAGUUUCUUCUGGAUCAAGCCACUGCUUCUUCGAGUGGACUGACUGCUUACAGUGAAGACUGGAAUCGCCUCAAAGAACUACUUCUAAACAAAUCCAUGCCCCCUUGUCCUAUCUUCCUCCCAUAUUUUUGGCAGGUGGAUUACAAGGAAGGUUGAAGCAUUUAAGAACCUUUAUUAAAGUGAGUUUUGAAAAA
This is a long non-coding RNA of Mus musculus (house mouse), 280 nucleotides long. RefSeq annotates it as predicted gene, 53214. The transcript is spliced from 2 exons. NCBI's taxonomy places the organism in Eukaryota, Metazoa, Chordata, Mammalia, Rodentia, Muridae. The record is from RefSeq and is a predicted model, not a curated record.